RNAcentral lists this ribosomal RNA (497 nucleotides) under uncultured bacterium. Its description in RNAcentral is "partial 16S ribosomal RNA". It matches the Rfam family "Bacterial small subunit ribosomal RNA", at positions 28 to 507 of the family's 1533-position model. The record is from RNAcentral.
GAUGAACGCUGGCGGCGUGCCUAAUACAUGCAAGUCGAGCGAACGGACGAUAAUCUUUCUUCUCUUAUUUUAUCGGCUGACGUGUGUUUAACACGUGUAUAACCUACCUAUUAUACUGUGAUAACUUCGUGAAACCGUAUCUAAUACCGGAUAAUAUUUUGAACCUCAUUUUUCUAAAGUGAAUUACGUUCUUGCUGUCACUUAUAGAUGUAUCCGCGCUGCAUUAGCUAGUUGGUAAGGUAACGGCUUACCAAGGCAACGAUGCAUAGCCGACCUGAGAGGGGGAUCGGGGACACUGGAAGGGAGAAAGGGACAAGAGUAGUACGGGAGGAAGCAGUAGGGAAUAUGCGGCAAUGGGCGAAAGGAUGACGGAGCAAGGCGGAGUGAGAGAUGAAGGUGGUAGGAGCGUAAAAAAGUGUUAUGAGGGAAGAAAAGAUGUGUAAGAAAAAGUGAAGAGAAUGACGGUAACGAAAAAGAAAGCAACGGCUAACUACGUG